ACCUGGCUGGCUCAGUCAGUAGAGCAUGUGACUCUUGAUCCCAGGUUUGUGAGUUCAAGUCCCACGUUGGGUG
RNAcentral lists this transfer RNA (73 nucleotides) under Ailuropoda melanoleuca (giant panda). It matches the Rfam family "tRNA". From Rfam's summary of the family: Transfer RNA (tRNA) molecules are approximately 80 nucleotides in length. Their secondary structure includes four short double-helical elements and three loops (D, anti-codon, and T loops). Lineage: Eukaryota; Metazoa; Chordata; Mammalia; Carnivora; Ursidae. The record is from Rfam by way of RNAcentral.